This 328-nucleotide ribosomal RNA is filed under the name uncultured eukaryote. Its description in RNAcentral is "partial 18S ribosomal RNA". It matches the Rfam family "Eukaryotic small subunit ribosomal RNA", at positions 1470 to 1796 of the family's 1831-position model. The record is from RNAcentral.
CCCUUAGAUGUCCUGGGCCGCACGCGCGUUACACUGAUGCAUUCAACGAGCUUAUAACCUUGGCCGAGAGGCCUGGGCAAUCUUGUUAUCGUGCAUCGUGAUAGGGAUAGAUUAUUGAAAUUAUUAAUCUUGAACGAGGAAUUCCUAGUAAACGCAGAUCAUCAAUCUGCAUUGAUUACGUCCCUGCCCUUUGUACACACCGCCCGUCGCACCUACCGAUUGGAUGGUCCGGUGAAGCCUCGGGAUUGUGGUUCUUGCCGCUUUAUUGUGGCGUGACCGCGAGAACUUGUCUAAACCUUAUCAUCUAGAGGAAGGUGAAGUCGUAACA